RNAcentral lists this ribosomal RNA (253 nucleotides) under uncultured bacterium. RNAcentral's name for it is "partial 16S ribosomal RNA". It matches the Rfam family "Bacterial small subunit ribosomal RNA", at positions 524 to 776 of the family's 1533-position model. The record is from RNAcentral.
UACGUAGGGCGCAAGCGUUGUCCGGAAUUAUUGGGCGUAAAGAGCUCGUAGGUGGCUUGUCGCGUCUGCCGUGAAAGCCCAUGGCUUAACUGUGGGUCUGCGGUGGAUACGGGCUGGCUAGAGGUAGGUAGGGGCAAGCGGAAUUCCAGGUGUAGCGGUGAAAUGCGUAGAGAUCCGGAGGAACACCCGUGGCGCAGGCGGCCCCCUGGGCCGCGCCUGACGCUGAGACGCGAAAGCGCGGGGAGCGAACGGG